This 465-nucleotide ribosomal RNA is filed under the name uncultured Klebsiella sp. Its description in RNAcentral is "bacterial SSU rRNA". It matches the Rfam family "Bacterial small subunit ribosomal RNA", at positions 338 to 795 of the family's 1533-position model. Lineage: Bacteria; Pseudomonadati; Pseudomonadota; Gammaproteobacteria; Enterobacterales; Enterobacteriaceae. The record is from RNAcentral.
CCUACGGGCGGCUGCAGUGGGGAAUAUUGCACAAUGGGCGCAAGCCUGAUGCAGCCAUGCCGCGUGUGUGAAGAAGGCCUUCGGGUUGUAAAGCACUUUCAGCGGGGAGGAAGGCGGUGAGGUUAAUAACCUCAUCGAUUGACGUUACCCGCAGAAGAAGCAUCGGCUAACUCCGUGCCAGCAGCCGCGGUAAUACGGAGGGUGCAAGCGUUAAUCGGAAUUACUGGGCGUAAAGCGCACGCAGGCGGUCUGUCAAGUCGGAUGUGAAAUCCCCGGGCUCAACCUGGGAACUGCAUUCGAAACUGGCAGGCUAGAGUCUUGUAGAGGGGGGUAGAAUUCCAGGUGUAGCGGUGAAAUGCGUAGAGAUCUGGAGGAAUACCGGUGGCGAAGGCGGCCCCCUGGACAAAGACUGACGCUCAGGUGCGAAAGCGUGGGGAGCAAACAGGAUUAGAUACCCUAGUAGUC